AUCGCUUCUCGGCCUUUUGGCUCAGAUCAAGUGUAGUAUCUGUUCCCCAAAGCCCGCUGAAUAGGUCGAAAAAAAGACAAGGUUGUGCGGGAAAUAUACAAUUUUUUUCUUUUCUCAAGAAAAUUUUUGGCUUUUUUGGUUUUUUUUUUAACAAGGAUGCCCGGAUCGGGCUUGCUCCGGUGAGGAGAUUGCCUGGAGGAACC
Small nuclear RNA from Oncorhynchus tshawytscha (Chinook salmon), 203 nucleotides. Its record names the gene U2. It matches the Rfam family "U2 spliceosomal RNA". From Rfam's summary of the family: U2 is a small nuclear RNA (snRNA) component of the spliceosome (involved in pre-mRNA splicing). Complementary binding between U2 snRNA (in an area lying towards the 5' end but 3' to hairpin I) and the branchpoint sequence (BPS) of the intron results the bulging out of an unpaired adenosine, on the BPS, which initiates a nucleophilic attack at the intronic 5' splice site, thus starting the first of two transesterification reactions that mediate splicing. NCBI's taxonomy places the organism in Eukaryota, Metazoa, Chordata, Actinopteri, Salmoniformes, Salmonidae. The record is from Ensembl.